This is a long non-coding RNA of Equus caballus (horse), 6012 nucleotides long. RefSeq lists it as uncharacterized. The record is from RefSeq and is a predicted model, not a curated record. NCBI's taxonomy places the organism in Eukaryota, Metazoa, Chordata, Mammalia, Perissodactyla, Equidae.
AUGAUGUGUCAAUGUAGCCUCGUUGAUUGUAACAAAUGUACCACUCUGGUGUGGGAUGUUGAUAGUGGGAGGUAUUGUGCGUGUAGGGGCAGAGGGUAUAUAGGAACCCUCUGUACCUUAUCCUUGUUUAUACUCUAAAAAAUAAAGUCUAUUUGGAAAAACAAAAAUGAUAGUGGGAAAACAUGAGGCAUUGAUGGGGAAUAGGAGGGAAGAAGCAUUAGAAGCAUUCCAAGCAAAGGAUAAAAGACUAUAAAUGAGAGAAGAAGGCAAAGUUCCAGGAAAUAAAAGGAUUUCAGUAUGCACAGUGCUAUCCAACAGAACUUUCUGCAAUGAUGGAAAUAUUUUAUAAUCUGUGUUGUCCAAUAUGGUAGCCACUAGACUUACAUGGCUACUGAGCACAUGAGACAUGGCUAGUUUGAUUGAAGAAAUGAUAUUUGUUUUUACUUACUUUUAAUUAAUUUAAAUCUCAAUAGCCAUAUGUGGGUAGCAGAUAGCAUACUGGAUAGUGCAGGAUAGAGCAUGGAGUUGGGGUCCUGUGAAAUAGGGAUGGAGAGUAAUAUAGGAGAGAGAUAGAUACUGGAGGAUCUUCCAGCUAUAUAAAGAAGCAUUAAAUUUAUCCCAAGGAACACGAGAAGCCAAUGACAAGAUUUAAGAGGGAGAGUAACUAACAUGAUUAAUUUCUCUGCUUUUUGGCCUCAGGCUGCAGUGAAAAGAAUGGAUUAGGGUUGGGAUGAUUUUUACCUAGAGACAGGGAUACCAGGGAAAAAGGUAUCAGACAAUCCAGGCAAGAGAUGCCAUGACCCAAAGGGUAGAAAUCAGGGGACUUGUGGACACCUAGGAGGAAGAGGAAAGGAUGGAUUGGAUGUUAGGAACAAGGGAGGUUGAGGGAUGGGUAGACGAGGCUUGAGAAUGAUAGAUGGUGGUGCCAUACACUGAAGAACAGGUCUGAGGAGACAAGGAGUCCAGUCAGGGACUUACUGCGUAUGAGGGGUCCACUAGACACCCAAAUUGGAUGAUACACAUUUGGGAGCCAUGCACAUAUGGAUGGCCACUGAAGCCACAGGAGGGGAUGAGACCAUCCAAGGCAAGUCUGAAAAUGAGAGGAAGAGGACCUGGGACACCCUGAAGAACGCCAAUACACGGACAUGAUUCUUCUGUUUUCAAGCUAGUUUCAUACUCAUUCCUGCAUAUUGUAGCAGCCAUAUUAACCUGCACUCACUGUGUUUUACAUAAAGACCCCAAGCUCGCAGUUGAGCACCCCACAGGUCUCUCUCAACAGGCAAGUAUUUGGGAUUCUCUUCCACCCCACCUUCACUUUCAGGACACACUGACAUAUGAAAAGUAUUAUUCUAAAUUCAGUUUUUUUCCGUUCAGGACACAAUUUCAGCUAAAACAGAGUGAACUCUGAUGCAAAAACCAUUUUACUGGUGACAGAGACUAUAUCAGGGAGGCACAUGUUAAAAGAAGUUAAUAAGAACACAGUCGUCAAAAAACAAUUCACAAGCGUUUCUCUCUCCUUUGAAUUUAUUAUCAAAGAAAUGGCCAGUGCCCUUCCCACAGCUGACGAGCUGUCAAAUAAACUACCAGCAACCAAUCACAUCAUGAAACAAGGGAAUAUAUUGAUUUUAAACAAAAAGCAGAAGCAUAAUACAAACUCUUCUAGCUAAAUACAAACAAUGAUGAUACCAUUGGGGGAAUUCUAGUUUACUGUGCUUUAUCAACAGUUUCUACUAUGCAAAUCAGAGCCUUAAUGGAGGAUGCCGUUGCUCCUACAUAAAGCUCAUGAUCACGCAUGGUAAAGGAAUGGAAGUGCUGCUCUCAAGUAUUUUGGGGUAUCACACUGUCAAAUGCUCUUCUUUGGGGAAGCCUGGCUAAUAAAUUAACUGAGAUAUUACUUAUUGCACCUUAAAUAUUCAUAAAAACUAGCAGGCAAUGCAAGUGUAAGUCUAGGGACCAUUAUGGAUCAUUCGUAUUUCAAGAACCCAACAGACAUUUUUGCAUAAAUAGGUUAAGAUGGACCCUGUGUUGGGUCAUUCUUUCGUUUAACAACCUUUUAUUAAGCAUUUACUACGUAUCAAAGUAUAGAGGAUUUGGAGGAUCAUGUUAAGCAGUUUGGACUUUGCAAGUAUGAAAAAAGAAGGCUUCAAAGUGUUGGGAGAUGAGAUACGGUGUGGUAGUGAGAAGAUCUCUGUUUUUGGAGAGAGAACACUGGCAGCAGAAUCAGGGUGCAAAGAGGCUGGAUUCCUGAGCCCAGUUAUGAGGCUUUUACAUUAACUUGAUGAAAAAAAGAUUAGUGCCUGAAAUUGGGAAGUGGUAGUGGGGAUGGAGAGAGAGGGAUUAAUGAGAAAGAUACUUAGAAGUCAAUAUGGGAACUGAGUAAUAAUUCUGAGGUUAUUCCCUGGGGGGAUUGCGUAGCUGUUUUUGAUCCCAGGAGAUGUCUCUGAAGAUAUUAUUUCUUAGCCUCCAUUUGUGGUACUCUCCUAGAAGUAUCGUGCAAGAGCUAAGCAUUCAUUAGUGGCUUCUUUUGGGAUUACAGUCAUUUCUUCACUGAACAGCCCUGUCAAGUAGUUAAUGAUCUGUAAAACUCUUAACUGAACCCGGAAGAGCUCUUUAAAUUAAUUCUGUAAAUCAAAGGUCCUUCUAUUGUAUUUUGUAAAUUCUGAUUUGCUUUUCUAAAUGAAUUGUCCCCAUCUUUCAGUGUGCAUUUUCUAUUCUCUGGACUGUACAGAAAAUUUUAUUAGUUUUUAAUGCGAUCAAAGGGAAACUGAACUCAACCCAUACUUUUCUAAGAAUCAACAUACCAUAGAUUUUAAAAGCUCGAGUGAAACUAAAUCAGCAGUUGCCAGGAAGCUCUACUCUAUUCCUAAGAUGAUAUUUCUUCUAUUAUUCCUAUUAAUGCUACUGCUAAUAAUUUUACCAUUACUCUUACUAAAACAUACAUCACCAUCGCUCCUAAAACUGGCUUACUUUAUUAAGUGCCUUUACGUACCAGAAACUGUUGCACUUAUUUCAUGUGUGUUGACUCAUUAACUCAUUGCUGACUUAACAAUGUUCAGAACGUCACUCUCAAGAGACUACCACUAUUUUCCCUAUCUGAUUAAUGAGAAGAUUAAGGCACAGAGAGGAGAAAGAACUUGCCCAAGGUUACUCAGCUAUUCAAAGGCUGAGCUGGGAUCCAAUCCUGCUGCAGACUGUUACUCUGGUAGUCACCAAUAAACCACAUCUCUCGGCAUUCCUGCUCUGGUGGAAUGCCCUCUCACCUCAUCCGAGUUUGACCACGUGACUUGCUUUGAACAAAGAGACAUUAGUAUGUGUUAUGCAAGCAGAGGUUUGACAAGCCACUAGCACACUGGUGUUUGCUCAGCUGGGACACUUCUUUUCGGGAUCCAACUGCCAUGUGCUGAAAAGCCCAAACCAAAUUGAGAGGCCACACGGGGGAGAACUGAGGCCCUCCAGUCCCAGCCAACUGCCUGCACCAACUGCCACUGAUGCAAGCGAGUCCUCUCGGCCACUGCAGCCUCAGCCACCACAUGACUGUAACUGCCUGAAAGACUCCACUCGAGACCAGCAGAAGAACUGCCACCUCUCACAACGCAUGAUGCAUAGGAGGCAAUUUCAUAAUGUCGAACAGAUAAAAAACCAAAUGAACCAAUAAAGCAUGGAAAGAUGCUUCAAUUCUUGGAUUCAAAGGUACGUGCACCAUUCCUCCACUGAGAGCUGCAGUCUAUUCUCUCAUGCUCUUGAAGCUGGGCUGGUCUAUAACUGCUUUAAUCGAGAGGAUAUGCCACCUUUGACUUCUAAGAUUAGGUUACAAGAAGACUUGUAGCUUCCACCUGGUGUCUUGGGACACUCACUAUGGGGGAAGCCAACCACCAGCUGUAAAGAUCAAUAACUCCAUAAGUCAGAACCCUUGGUUGGAGAUACAGGCUACCCAGAUCAGUGGUUGAUCCUCAACAAGAACCAAGGAAUUUACAAUGGAGCUUUCAGAAAGAAACUCCUAAUUGGCGGGGAUCAUGCCUCCACUGCAGGUUAUGUCACCAACUCUCCAGUGCCAAACCACGGACAUUUCCACCCCAGGGUAUUUGAUGCAGGGGCUGAAUAUAACAUUUGGCUUCAUCUGUCCUUUGAGUGCUCAGGAAAAUGCUGUGACAGAGGCAUGAGAGGUCCACACUUUUACUCCUGAUUUAGAUGAUUUUCUGAAACAUACCCCCCGAAAGCAUGUUGUUAAGCUACCUCAGGUCCACUCUUGAAACUUUUCUGACUUUAUCUUUCCUAGAGAAGCCUUCUCCCAGCAUCAGCUAGAUGUUGACUUAAACUGACCCGGGAUGGCAACCACACAGAUCCCCAUGCAUAGAGUGGACUGCACCCAGGGCUUUGAUGGAGAAAGACUCCCCAGGCAGCUACUGAUCUAGGAUGCUAAUUAGGCAAGUUUACUUGAUGCCGGAUGACAAAGCUCUUCACAAGGGAAAGACCACCUUGCUUGUGUGUCAGGGCAAGGUACCCUCAGAGACUAUCAAGCUCUGGACAGUGUUAGAGGCACAGCAGGGUGGAAUCCUUGGCAUCUCUGGUCAUUCCUUCUAAAUCUUCAUUGAUUAAGCUUUUGUCUACAUGCGGGAUCAAACAGCCUUUCUUCUGCCUGAUUGAUUUUGAUUUUUCAAUACAUCAUAAUAAACAAUUGCCAAACAAUCAAUUGGAUCACUGCACAGCCAAUUCAAUUUGAUCACCAAGAUCACAUCUGGUUAUUUUACUCAUUUGAAUGACCAAACAGGAUCAACCGUGAAGAAAUUUUGGCUCUUCAGCAAUCAGUUAAUCUCAUAAACUUCUAAACAAGAACCUGAUGAAACACAGUCAAGUUGCGAUGUGUAUAUAUAGGUAUGGCUUAUAUGAUGAGUAAAACACAAAUUUAUAAAAACCACACCAGAAAUCUAUUUUUCUCAUUGCAUCAUUGAAAUAGAUCAAACUGUAAUGUAUUCAGAUUUAACUCUCUCGUGCUUAGAUAGGAGAGUCUCUCGCUACUUUCAGCUUCUGUUUCUGAAAAGUUUUACAUAAAUCAAAUUUUUGCAAAUCAAAUCCUAUUUUAAAUACAUUAACAGAAGUUACUGCUUAAAUUAUGAAUCUGUUUAUAACCAAUGAAUUCCCCUCAAACAUGUCUCUGGUGUAGAGCUGGAAUUUCAUAUACCAGGUUUUGCUUAAGAGUGAGGUUUUGUUGCAAAAUUCUGUGCUUCCCAGAUAAUCUGUAACAAUUUUUAGUAAACUUAAAUUUAUAGUCAGACUCAUUUAUGGAAAAAUGCAUGAAAGCCAUGUUUCUCUAUUUAAAAGAAGUGAGAGGGGACAGCUUGUUUUUUCCUAAUCUGGUAAGUUGGAACCAGAAGGGGGAAAUGUAAAUAUGAGUUCUCUGUCACGCAUAGCACCUUUUGUGAGGAGUUUGAUUAAACAUGAUUGAAAAGAAUAUACUCACGCGCAUUGCCUAAGACGGCAUUUUCUUAAAUGUCAAAGUAAAGUUAAAGUCAAGUAAACAUGAUUUAUGUCCCUCUUCCUAGUACCCAUAAUCUUGUUGUCCACCUAAAUCUUUCUGACACACUCUCUCCAGGUUACCCGGAUCUUUGUCACAUCUCCCAGAAUCCAGGCCCUCUCCUUUCUCACACUUUCACAACAAUCUGCCUCUUGCUGUCCUACGUAAAGAAGCAACCUUUUUUUUUUUUAACGUAUUUUAUAUCAAAUAGAUAAAUGGAUUCUUUGAGGGGAAAGUAUUCAAUAUUUACAUACAUAUGUAAAUAAGUUGUAUACAUACCGUUCUACUGAUGUUUCACUAAUCUCACAAAAGGGAACAAAAUGGAUUCAGAAGACACGGGGAACUUUAAAGAAUCGGCACCAUUAGCAAAAAUCUUAAAUGAAUGAAUAGAAAACAUGGACAAUUUUAGUCACUAAGAAUGUGAACUGUAAUGGGGCUGGCCCCGUGGCCGAGUGGUUAAGUUCGCGUGCUCUGCUGCAGGCGGCCCAGUGUUUCGUUGG